RNAcentral lists this small RNA (549 nucleotides) under Pongo abelii (Sumatran orangutan). RNAcentral's name for it is "retained intron". The record is from RNAcentral. Lineage: Eukaryota; Metazoa; Chordata; Mammalia; Primates; Hominidae.
CUGCAAUUUAAAAAUAAAUCAAAGUUUAAAAGCUUAAUAUUUUCAUUUUUUGAUUUUUGAAAUAUAAAAUAUACCAUUGCUAUUUUGCUUACUUUUGUUUUUUUUCUUCCUUCCUCUCUGUUUUAGUGGCAUGCCCUCUCCCGUGAAGAGCAGGCUAAAUAUUAUGAAUUAGCACGGAAAGAAAGACAGCUACAUAUGCAGCUUUAUCCAGGCUGGUCUGCAAGAGACAAUUAUGGUAAGAAAAAGAAGAGGAAGAGAGAGAAACUACAGGAAUCUACAUCAGGUACAGGUCCAAGAAUGACAGCUGCCUACAUCUGAAACAUGGUGGAAAACGAAGCUCAUUCCCAACGUGCAAAGCCAAGGCAGCGACCCCAGGACCUCUUCUGGAGAUGGAAGCUUGUUGAAAACCCAGACUGUCUCCACGGCCCGCCCAGUCGACCCCAAAGGAACACUGACAUCAAUUUUACCCUGAGGUCACUGCUAGAGAUGCUGAUCCAUAAAGACAAUCACUGCCAACCCCUCUUUUGUCUACUGCAAGAGCCAAGUUCC